ACAGAUGGGAGCUUGCUCCCUGAUGUUAGCGGCGGACGGGUGAGUAACACGUGGGUAACCUGCCUGUAAGACUGGGAUAACUCCGGGAAACCGGGGCUAAUACCGGAUGGUUGUUUGAACCGCAUGGUUCAGACAUAAAAGGUGGCUUCGGCUACCACUUACAGAUGGACCCGCGGCGCAUUAGCUAGUUGGUGAGGUAACGGCUCACCAAGGCAACGAUGCGUAGCCGACCUGAGAGGGUGAUCGGCCACACUGGGACUGAGACACGGCCCAGACUCCUACGGGAGGCAGCAGUAGGGAAUCUUCCGCAAUGGACGAAAGUCUGACGGAGCAACGCCGCGUGAGUGAUGAAGGUUUUCGGAUCGUAAAGCUCUGUUGUUAGGGAAGAACAAGUGCCGUUCAAAUAGGGCGGCACCUUGACGGUACCUAACCAGAAAGCCACGGCUAACUACGUGCCAGCAGCCGCGGUAAUACGUAGGUGGCAAGCGUUGUCCGGAAUUAUUGGGCGUAAAGGGCUCGCAGGCGGUUUCUUAAGUCUGAUGUGAAAGCCCCCGGCUCAACCGGGGAGGGUCAUUGGAAACUGGGGAACUUGAGUGCAAAAGAGGAGAGUGGAAUUCCACGUGUAGCGGUGAAAUGCGUAGAGAUGUGGAGGAACACCAAUGGCGAAGGCGACUCUCUGGUCUGUAACUGACGCUGAGGAGCGAAAGCGUGGGGAGCGAACAGGAUUA
This 728-nucleotide ribosomal RNA is filed under the name Bacillus velezensis. RNAcentral describes it as "bacterial SSU rRNA". It matches the Rfam family "Bacterial small subunit ribosomal RNA", at positions 69 to 780 of the family's 1533-position model. The record is from RNAcentral. Lineage: Bacteria; Bacillati; Bacillota; Bacilli; Caryophanales; Bacillaceae.